RNAcentral lists this ribosomal RNA (254 nucleotides) under uncultured bacterium. RNAcentral's name for it is "partial 16S ribosomal RNA". It matches the Rfam family "Bacterial small subunit ribosomal RNA", at positions 524 to 776 of the family's 1533-position model. The record is from RNAcentral.
UACAGAGGGGGCAAGCGUUGUUCGGAAUUACUGGGCGUAAAGGGCGCGUAGGCGGCCUGUUAAGUCGGACGUGAAAUCCCUCGGCUCAACCGGGGAACUGCGUCCGAUACUGGCGGGCUUGAAUUCGGGAGAGGGAUGCGGAAUUCCAGGUGUAGCGGUGAAAUGCGUAGAUAUCUGGAGGAACACCGGUGGCGAAGGCGGCAUCCUGGACCAACACUGACGCUGAGUGAGCGAAAGCCAGGGGAGCAAACGGG